RNAcentral lists this long non-coding RNA (610 nucleotides) under Cricetulus griseus (Chinese hamster). RNAcentral describes it as "lncRNA (ENSCGRG00015037912.1)". Lineage: Eukaryota; Metazoa; Chordata; Mammalia; Rodentia; Cricetidae. The record is from RNAcentral.
CCGGUUCAAAUCCCAACACCUCCCCGAUAAAGAAAAAAAUCUCAUCGCAGGAAGACAGUGUGUGACUCUGGAGCCCUAGCUGCUCUAGCACCAAGCCUGCUCUGAGUGGUCUCACCUGGUCCACAGAGGCCUUCUGAUGGCACCACGCACUUCUGGGGUUGGCAGCAGCUACGGGAUAUGGGGAAAUCUGAAACCAAGGCUUGGUAGGACACCCUUUGAAAAGAGAAGAGGGUGUGUGCUCAUCUGUCUGUCAGGACCACUGAUGCAGACAUGGAGAAGUUGAGCUGGUGCCCAGCUAGAAGUUUCAUCGCUACCAACUAGUGUUCAUGGCACUGAAAGUUAUUCUGCUCGCCACAGAAGAGAAAGGUGAUUUCUGAGCCCCGAGUGCCACAUGGCCAUGUUCUUCCUGCCUGCCUGACUGGGAUGUCAGCUCUGUCACUGGCAGGUGGUGUGUGCGGAGCACAGAAGGUACAGUGGAUGACAGGAAGGAGCUGGAGGCGAUGCCAACAGCCUAGGUGUCUGAUCGAUGGCUCUCAACCAAUGGCAGGACCGCUCACCUACCGAGUGGACAUUUGGCAAUGUCUGGAAAUAGUGCUGGGCUUGGACUAGG